GACCAGACUCCUACGGGAGGCAGCAGUGGGGAAUAUUGGGCAAUGGGCGCAAGCCUGACCCAGCAACGCCGCGUGAAGGAAGAAGGCUUUCGGGUUGUAAACUUCUUUUCUCAGGGACGAAGAAAAUGACGGUACCUGACUAAGAAGCCCCGGCUAACUACGUGCCAGCAGCCGCGGUAAUACGUAGGGGGCAAGCGUUAUCCGGAUUUACUGGGUGUAAAGGGAGUGUAGACGGUUCUGCAAGCCAGAUGUGAAAUUCCGGGGCUCAACCCCGGACCUGCAUUUGAAACUGUUGGUCUUGAGUAUCGGAGAGGCAGGCGGAAUUCCUAGUGUAGCGGUGAAAUGCGUAGAUAUUAGGAGGAACACCAGUGGCGAAGGCGGCCUGCUGGACGACAGCUGACGGUGAGGCGCGAAAGCGUGGGGAGCAAACAGGAUUAGAUACCCUUGUAAAC
RNAcentral lists this ribosomal RNA (452 nucleotides) under uncultured bacterium. RNAcentral describes it as "bacterial SSU rRNA". It matches the Rfam family "Bacterial small subunit ribosomal RNA", at positions 329 to 795 of the family's 1533-position model. The record is from RNAcentral.